Molecule: small RNA, 1881 nt
Filed under: Gallid alphaherpesvirus 2
Lineage: Duplodnaviria; Heunggongvirae; Peploviricota; Herviviricetes; Herpesvirales; Orthoherpesviridae
Description: latency associated transcript 1 non-coding RNA
Source: RNAcentral
GAACUCGAUUCCGAUUACCGCAGGUCUCUCGGACUAGUUGAGAGGAUCAUUGUCGUUCCAGGUGCAUGUGGUUCGUCCGAUAGAUCGUAGCGUGGCGAAAGCACCGGAGCAGUCUCAGGAAUUACAAUGCGCCUGUAAAACCGGCUAGGCUUCCGACAUAGACGCGGUGGUCUGUCCCCCGAGUGCCAUUCUUCUGGAUCUGAUGCAGCGCAAUGUUCUUUUGCGUCUGCCGACGGGCGAGCUCGGUCAACGUAAUACAACUGCUUCGAAUUGAGGCUACCAUAUCUUCUGCUAGAGCGGAACAUGUUCCCUCGGGAAUGUGAACAACAACCGGCCUGGCCUCUGGAUCUGGAGAUCCAUGAGAGUUAAUGGGCCGACAACAUCCCGCGAGGUUAUAAUAGUGGUCCCGAAAUCGAGAAGGCUGGGCCAGCGGACACAGCACUGACUACGGGGUGAAAUUAUACAUUUCAUGUAUUCCACAGCACCCUGAUAGCCCAAAUCCUCUGUUGAUAAAAACAGGACUCCCAUCCGAGUCAGUGGAGAUAUAUCGGGUGCUGCUUUCCAUCGGCCAGCCCACGCACUGCUCUUGGUAUCUGGAGCGGGUACGCAAAACAGGUGUUCGCCUGGGAGGGGUAACGCAUUUGCGACACGAGCGAUGUCUGCCAUAGCCUCGGGAGAAUAGCGCAACACCUCUUGCCAUGGUUCGGGGAUUCUGGCAAACUCUACUAGUUCCACAAAUGCCCCGUUGGGGCAGUAUGCGUUCAGAACAGAUUGGGGAGGGGUUUGACCGAUCACCGUUCCAACCGGGAAUUGCCUGAAUGCGGCACGGUCCCGACGUCCCCGUGGGCCUACUAAGGCCCCGGUCAUAAUAUCGACGGGAACUGGGCCAUGGGAUGUGUUGAAUCUGUGGAUAGCUUCUACUAUCUCUGGACUAUCCGUCAUAGGGGGACGUGUCCGCAAGGCCAGAGGAGGAUGUCACCUGAAUAUCAUUGCGUUGGACGGCUCGGCCGGACUUGGGAGGACGCCCACGUGGGCGUCCUCCCCCACGCCUGUUUGCGGUUUCUUGGGGUAAGUAGUCCUCAUCUUCCAGUUUACGCGUUCGGGGCGAUGUUUUUCUCCCCUUAGACUGCGGUCCGGAUCGCCCACCACGAUUACUACCUCUGCCCCGACGCGGGCGGCUCGAACAAUCAGCCCGCGGUCUGGGGGGCGACGGAGAUGGUGACCUAGAUGAUGAAGGUGAAGACGGGACGAUUAGAGAAGAUGAUGACGGUGAGGAUGAUGAAGAGGAGGAAGAUGAAGAGGAUGGCGAUCUGGAAACAUGUCCGACGUUCCGGGCCGCGUGGUCUGGGGGAACUUCGUGGAGAUGAGGUUGUGUGAGGCAGUUCGCUCAUUCUGCCAGAAGAUGGAGUAGUCAGCCGUGGACCUGAGGUGAGUGGUGCAGCUCAACUCUAGCUUCGCGAAUGGCCGCGGAGAGCGCAGGAGGCAGCGUGGUAGAUGGUUGUGGCAUCUCAAAAGUAACUUCGCAGCCAGGCAUUUAAAGUCUUUCCAUGCCAAACCGGUCCAGGGAUUGGUGCUUCCAUCUCGGCCGUCCACCCAGGUAAUCUCGGGCAAUGGGAACAGCAAUCACUUUCGAAUUCCUUCAGCCCAAAGCACAACCGCGGGUCCACCGGGACUCUCCGACAUAGCUCGAGCCAAAAGGGAAUUGUAGCCCAGGAAGGGCGGUGCAUAUCUGCAAGUAAACAAAACUCGGGGUUCUGUACGAUUGGCCGGGGUCUUACAUGCUCGCCGAAUUGGAUUUGAGAAUCAAUCUUCCGACGGGUCUCCUGACUUGAACAGGGGAAAGGGGGAGGGGGAGUGUGUUAUCUUGUCGCGAACCAAUAA